This 1295-nucleotide long non-coding RNA is filed under the name Sorghum bicolor (sorghum). Its description in RNAcentral is "long non-coding RNA (SBIC_LNC014138)". The record is from RNAcentral. Lineage: Eukaryota; Viridiplantae; Streptophyta; Magnoliopsida; Poales; Poaceae.
CUGAAUUUUGAGGCAAUUUCUUUUGAUGUAGCUAGCAGGUGGCAGAGGUGUAUUUGAAAGUCGGCAAUAUCUUGACAGCGAUUAGAAUGUCCUCCGUCUGCUAGUCUUCUUGAUUCUUAAAUUCUGUGGAGCUCAAAUAGACAACAAAGCUUUGUGGAACUGAUUAAGUGUUAGCAUAAACAUCUAGCCUUUAUCAUGUUGAGACUCCUUAAUAAUUAGUACUCCCUGUUUUUAUAUUUUCAUUUUAUAAAGCAGAAAAGAAAAUUUUUAAUUUUAUUUUUAUGCCACCACAGUGAAUGUACUUAUGGGUUUUAUGCCACUCGUAUACUCACAAGGGGCUUACUAUUUUUUAACCUUUUUAUUUUCUUUUUAGAAUGGUAUGAACAUGAUUAACUAAGCAAACUAUUUGAAAUAAUUGAAAGGAAAAAGAUAACUACCAAGUUUACCUCUUGGCAAGGCGUUCGGUGUUUUUAAGUCCUUCGAACGGGACUCUCCAUUUUCUCAAUUGUCCUGGGAUUCGUUGGGUGGCGUAGUCGGUACUUCCGGCGGCGCCUCUUCUUCAUUUAUGGUUAUUUUCUCUUUCCAUACCUGACUCGGUGCUACGGUCUCCUCUGGAUAAUUCUGUUUAAACUGUACCUCUUCUGACCUUACAACUUCUCCUUCAUAGUCUGCCCAUCCGUCCUUGAUAAUCUGCCUCUUCUGGUUGCGGUUGCGUCGUUUUCUGACCUACUUAGAUUCUUCAACGAUAUAGUUAGGGUCAGUAAAAUAGCGGCGUACCUUCUCUGAGGGGAAGUGCAUAUGGACUUCUCCAGUUCUAAUGUAGAUGAUUGCUUUAACGGUGCUGAGGAACGGUCUUCCAAGGAUGAUGGGUGGAUCGUACUCGUCUUCUCCCAUGUCAAUAACCUGAAAGUCUGUGUAGACAAAAUGAUCGUCUAUUUUGAUAGGGACAUCAGUUACUAUUCCUUUAACUUCUCGAAAUGUUUGAUCUGCCAUCUAGAGCUGAAUGUAUGUUGGUUUUAGGGGCAUGGUUCCGAACAAGAGCCUAUAGGUGACUGCGGCCGUUAUGUUGACGCCCGAUCUGGUGUCGCAAAUCGUCUUGUAAAAGUUGUAUCCAUUUAUAGAGCAAUAGAUGCUUGGCAUUCUUGGGUCAUCCUUCUUGGUCAAAAAUGGUGACUUUAGUUGAUGAUCUUGGCCUCCAUGAACUACAGUGACCAUCUUAGCUGACUCGGUCCACACUUGCUUGUUCUUGUUCCUCCUGUUGGUCCUCUUCCUUGGUUCACGUCUGGAUUGAUCUG